GACGAACGCAGGCGGCGUGCUUAACACAUGCAAGUCGAACGGGGCUUGCCCUUUGGGGUGGGUUUAGUGGCGAACGGGUGAGUAACACGUGGGUAAUCUGCCCUCAGCUCUGGGAUAACUCCGGGAAACCGGGGCUAAUACUGGAUAUGACUACUGGUGACAUCGCCUGGUGGUGGAAAGAUUUUUUGGCUGAGGAUGGGCCCGCGGCCUAUCAGCUUGUUGGUGGGGUAAUGGCCUACCAAGGCGACGACGGGUAGCCGGCCUGAGAGGGCGACCGGCCACACUGGGACUGAGACACGGCCCAGACUCCUACGGGAGGCAGCAGUGGGGAAUCUUGCGCAAUGGGCGAAAGCCUGACGCAGCGACGCCGCGUGAGGGAUGACGGCCUCGGUU
This 393-nucleotide ribosomal RNA is filed under the name uncultured bacterium. RNAcentral's name for it is "bacterial SSU rRNA". It matches the Rfam family "Bacterial small subunit ribosomal RNA", at positions 28 to 424 of the family's 1533-position model. The record is from RNAcentral.